UUGUUGGUGGGGUGAUGGCCUACCAAGGCGACGACGGGUAGCCGGCCUGAGAGGGCGUCCGGCCACACUGGGACUGAGAUACGGCCCAGACUCCUACGGGAGGCAGCAGUGGGGAAUAUUGCACAAUGGGCGCAAGCCUGAUGCAGCGACGCCGCGUGGGGGAUGACGGCCUUCGGGUUGUAAACCUCUUUCACCAUCGGCGAAGCCAGAUGCUUUUGUGUCUGGUGACGGUAGGUGGAGAAGAAGCACCGGCCAACUACGUGCCAGCAGCCGCGGUAAUACGUAGGGUGCGAGCGUUGUCCGGAAUUACUGGGCGUAAAGAGCUCGUAGGUGGUUUGUCGCGUUGUCCGUGAAAUUCCCUGGCUUAACUGGGGGCGUGCGGGCGAUACGGGCAGACUGGAGUACUGCAGGGGAGACUGGAAUUCCUGGUGUAGCGGUGGAAUGCGCAGAUAUCAGGAGGAACACCGGUGGCGAAGGCGGGUCUCUGGGCAGUAACUGACGCUGAGGAGCGAAAGCGUGGGGAGCGAACAGGAUUAGAUACCCUGGUAGUCCACGCCGUAAACGGUGGGUACUAGGUGUGGGUUUCCUUCCUUGGGAUCCGUGCCGUAGCUAACGCAUUAAGUACCCCGCCUGGGGAGUACGG
This 643-nucleotide ribosomal RNA is filed under the name uncultured bacterium. RNAcentral's name for it is "bacterial SSU rRNA". It matches the Rfam family "Bacterial small subunit ribosomal RNA", at positions 246 to 885 of the family's 1533-position model. The record is from RNAcentral.